CAUAACUUUAAUAAUUCAAACAAAUGAGUUAUAUAAACAUUCAGCUGUACACAUGUUUGUUUCUACUGUAAAUUCUAAAAUGGGAGUCUAUCGGGAUUGACUCGCUUUAGCCCACCUUAAGGGGCCAUUUGAGAAACUGCAGAUUUUGGUCCUUGUGUCUUGGCUUCAUUUUUUACCUCCAGAGUUUGUUGCUUGGGUGCAUAUUCAUAACAUAGCAAGAUAAAGCUCAAACAUUAAUGGACACUUUCCGCCAUUUGUUUUUUUGUUGAAUGGUACAGGUUGAAGAACAGCCAUUUGCAGAAUCCAGGAUUUACAAGUAUGUUUGACAUACAUUUUAUAGAUUUGUAUGAAUAAUCAAAAAUAUAUCAUGUUGUCCAGAAGUGUUCAAUGUGUGUUUCCAUCAUUUUUUGGGAUGUUGCAAACAAUAACAUCAACAUUUUUUUUCAACAGCUCCCAAACUGUAAAUAUUCUCAUGUACAGAGCCAUGGAAUCUCAGAUGCCCGAUGAGAUCAGCGAGCAGGCUGAAUCAACACAAGAAGAAAGGAAUCAAGUAGAAAUGGACACUAAGGAUGAAAAGAGUAGGAACAUCAUGCAGGAGGCUGACAAUGAGAUACAGACAAAAACAGUUGUUCAGCCAGACAGGCUCCAUCAUGGCCUGAUUAAUCAGGGAGCCACAUGUUACCUCAACAGUGUCCUGCAAGUUCUCUUCAUGACAGCUGAGUUCCACGACAGGUUUGACACAGCUGCUUUUGUUUGUAAUAAGGACAACAAAAUUAUUGUAAGUACAAUAUUUUAUAAAAUACUAACAGACAACUCUGGACCAGGCUAUAAUGUAUCCUGGCUACUAAAAAUCAGUUGUUUGUCUAGUGCAGAUGAGACAAUGUCAAAACUCCAAGUUUGACACACUUAUUUUCUAGAAGUUCUUUAUCUAUUUCAAGCAAGAGUCACUCUUUAGCAUCACAUAGAUGAUGACUGAAAGCAAAGCAGUUUCUCCUCAUUCUUCAUAGUAGCAGAAAUCAAUACACACAAUGCAGCAAUGACAAGGUUGCAUGUGAACUCACUUAAGAUAACACUCCCACUAUCUACGCAUCCACCACAGGAUAAACAUAAAUCUAACAUACACGUACAUUCACAAGUUUUCAUGUCAUACAUCAACCAUUGUCAGAAUACGCAUACACUCGAGAGGUUACAAACACACUGCUCAGGAUGAAGUCCUUAACUGAGUUCCUAUCUAUGUUACAGUCCUUUAUGUCACAUGCUCUGCAACCAUAUAACUGUCACAAGACAGAAACCUUGCAGGAGGUCCACAUACACAAGUGUUUACCCCAUGCACAUAUUAUUGUUGCAUCUAUAUUUGUUAGGUUUCGUAUGCAAGAAACAAAAUAUCCAAAUUAAAAAAGGAUGUUGGAGAAUUUACCUUAGAAAUGUUAAUUAUUUGGGUGCAUCUGGGUGUUUCAGACCCACAAAUAUCAAUCAUUGAGCAUUUUAAUAAAAGCAUUAAACUGUCACUAUUCACUGAGAAACUAUUGUCUACCUAAAGGUUGGAUCAACAAUCACAAGCAGAUCUUCAACUGAGAAAAAUCUUUGAAGACCUGACUAAAAAAACAUGUGAAACAGAAAACAUCACAACAACAUUUGGGAUUGGAAAUGGUAAGCUGGGAAAUAUUGAGAAUCUUCAAUGAAAUCAAUAUAUUAGAUUCAAUUUAAUGGAUCAUUUUGCAGUUCAUAAACCAGGUGAUGCAGCUGAAUGUCUGGAAAUGAUUUUACAUAAGGUCAGCCCACAGGCCUCUGAGGUGAGCAGUCAAAAAAAAAUACUUUGUUAUUGUGAAGAGACAAAUAAGAAUGAUGUGUGAUAAUAUACAUUGGAAUGCAAAGGUCUUCAAGGGAGAGGUGACUCACGUAACAAAAUGCUCAGAAGGCCACAUCAUCAAUGAAGAGACUAAUCCAUUCUGGACUCUCCCUCUGUCUCUGAGAGAUAGUUCUGAUACAACCUACAGUGUGGUGAGCAGACAAAGAUCAGAGUUCUUUCCAGUGUUUUAAUGUGAUGUGAAUAUUCUGAUCUAAACUGGAAUACAUACAACACUUUUAUCUUCACAGCAAAACAGCUUUGAAUGGAAUUUCCAAACUAAAAUACAUAAAGGGGGUAACAUGGUGCACUGCAAUAAAUGUAACAAGGAAACAGAAGCAACAAGUGUGAGUUCUGAUCUUAAAUAAAACCACAAACUGUAAUCAGGUCAAAUUAUGUACUGAUCGAUACUAAGAUUAAAAGAUAUAGUGUUUGAUAAUGUUUCUUGUGUCAUUUAGAAAAGUGAGAUGGUGGAAGCUCCUCAGAUUCUGAUUCUACUCCUCAAGAGAUUCAGCACAAAGUCACUUGUUGAAACCCACCACUGUGUGGAAGUGCCACCUGAAUUACAGUUAAAGGCAGGGAACCUUGUUAUUCAUUACAUGUGAUUUAUAUCUGAAUGGUGUUUCUUUUAGUUGCUUUGAAAAUCUUUUCAUUUAUCUGACUGUGUUCUUCAUUGUAGAAAA
Molecule: long non-coding RNA, 2529 nt
Organism: Sparus aurata (gilthead seabream)
Lineage: Eukaryota; Metazoa; Chordata; Actinopteri; Spariformes; Sparidae
Source: Ensembl